RNAcentral lists this ribosomal RNA (253 nucleotides) under uncultured bacterium. Its description in RNAcentral is "partial 16S ribosomal RNA". It matches the Rfam family "Bacterial small subunit ribosomal RNA", at positions 524 to 776 of the family's 1533-position model. The record is from RNAcentral.
UACGUAGGGUGCAAGCGUUGUCCGGAAUUAUUGGGCGUAAAGAGCUCGUAGGCGGUCUGUUGCGUCGGCUGUGAAAACCCGGGGCUCAACCGCGGGCCUGCAGCCGAUACGGGCAGGCUAGAGUUCGGUAGGGGAGACUGGAAUUCCUGGUGUAGCGGUGAAAUGCGCAGAUAUCAGGAGGAACACCGGUGGCGAAGGCGGGUCUCUGGGCAGUAACUGACGCUGAGGAACGAAAGCGUGGGUAGCGAACAGG